This 271-nucleotide long non-coding RNA is filed under the name Cicer arietinum (chickpea). Its description in RNAcentral is "long non-coding RNA (CARI_LNC001259)". The record is from RNAcentral. Lineage: Eukaryota; Viridiplantae; Streptophyta; Magnoliopsida; Fabales; Fabaceae.
UUGCAUUUAGUUUUUUUGGACUCAACUUUGGUUCUGCUUCCUUAUUCAUAUUUUCCUCUUGCAUAUUUUCUUCUACCACAACAAUAAAGUCAUUUAUAAUCUCCAACUUCUCACUCAUCUUCUCAAAUUCAACAACUUAUUCAGCUAACCUCUCAAAUUGGCUCUCAAAGCUUUUAGUUGAAGCUUGAUUAAACUUCAUGAAUUAAACCACAACAUCUUCUAGUUUAGAGUUGAAAUCAAUUUAAUGCAUGUCUUGCUCUUUUUGUGCUAU